RNAcentral lists this long non-coding RNA (804 nucleotides) under Brachypodium distachyon (stiff brome). RNAcentral describes it as "long non-coding RNA (BDIS_LNC000674)". Lineage: Eukaryota; Viridiplantae; Streptophyta; Magnoliopsida; Poales; Poaceae. The record is from RNAcentral.
GACACAUGCAAGGAAAGGAUGCAUGGGCAUCAGCGUGACGUCAACAAAAGUCACCGGACUAUUUUUUUUACUAUUCUCUUCAUUUCGUAAAUGUAAGAAGCAAUACCUUUGACCUAACACCAACUUAUUAAACUUCGACCUAAUCUAUAAAAAAAUAUGACAUUUACGACUCCAAAUUAGUUUUGUUAAAUUCAUCUGAUAUAUAUUUUCAUACUCCGUAUUAUUCUCAUUUCAUAUUUGACAUGUUCAUACAUUUUUCUAUAAAAUUGGUCAAUUUUUUUAAAAUUAACUUAUGACAAAGUUAACACUUCUUAUAUUUAGAAUUGAGGUAGUACCUCCUAGACAAAAUAUAGACUUACUUUUAUAUUUUUAUUUUAUUUUUCAAACAGCAGGAUAAUCCAUGGUUUUUUCAUUGACUCAUGCACACAGCCUUAUAUUAUUAAAGCCAGAAAAAAACAGACAAUACAAUCAAACAAAGUUGACCCCCCCCCCCCCCAAGAAAAAAAUGGUGACCCCACCAAACCACCACUAACCCUAUGGUACAUGCGGAAAACAAAAAAAAACGCAACUCUUAGGCAAAACCUUUAAGAAGAUUCGCAGCAUGUGUGCCGAUGAUGACGAGUCCCACCUAAGAUCGAACUCGGUUUUUUUUCCCUAAAUCUAAGUUUCAAACCACCACCUUCAACAAGAUCACGACACAAGGGCUCGUCGACAUUGCCUGAUCUGGGAUCAAGUGUUCCAAUGGAGUGAGCAGACUUGUCAUCAUAGUUGUCUGUAUCAUCAUCACAUCACCGCCUCCAGACC